Molecule: ribosomal RNA, 506 nt
Filed under: uncultured bacterium
Lineage: Bacteria
Description: partial 16S ribosomal RNA
Rfam family: Bacterial small subunit ribosomal RNA
Source: RNAcentral
AGUGAACGCUGGCGGUAGGCCUAACACAUGCAAGUCGAACGGCAGCACAGGAGAGCUUGCUCUCUGGGUGGCGAGUGGCGGACGGGUGAGGAAUACAUCGGAAUCUACUUUUUCGUGGGGGAUAACGUAGGGAAACUUACGCUAAUACCGCAUACGACCUACGGGUGAAAGCAGGGGAUCUUCGGACCUUGCGCGAUUGAAUGAGCCGAUGUCGGAUUAGCUAGUUGGCGGGGUAAAGGCCCACCAAGGCGACGAUCCGUAGCUGGUCUGAGAGGAUGAUCAGCCAACCUGGAACUGGGACACAGUCCAGACUCCUACGGGAGGCAGCAGUGGGGAAUAUUGGACAAUGGGCGCAAGCCUGAUCCAGCCAUACCGCGUGGGUGAAGAAGGCCUUCGGGUUGUAAAGCCCUUUUGUUGGGAAAGAAAUCCAGCUGGUUAAUACCCGGUUGGGAUGACGGUACCCAAAGAAUAAGCACCGGCUAACUUCGUGCCAGCAGCCGCCGUAA